AGAGUUUGAUCCUGGCUCAGAACGAACGCUGGCGGCAGGCCUAACACAUGCAAGUCGAACGCACCGCAAGGUGAGUGGCGCACGGGUGAGUAACACGUGGGAAUGUACCCUUUGGUUCGGAAUAACGUUUGGAAACGAACGCUAAUACCGGAUGAGCCCUGCGGGGGAAAGAUUUAUCGCCAAAGGAGCAGCCCGCGUCUGAUUAGCUAGUUGGUGGGGUAAAGGCCUACCAAGGCGACGAUCAGUAGCUGGUCUGAGAGGAUGAUCAGCCACACUGGGACUGAGACACGGCCCAGACUCCUACGGGAGGCAGCAGUGGGGAAUAUUGGACAAUGGGCGCAAGCCUGAUCCAGCCAUGCCGCGUGAGUGAUGAAGGCCUUCGGGUUGUAAAGCUCUUUCGCACGCGACGAUGAUGACGGUAGCGUGAGAAGAAGCCCCGGCUAACUUCGUG
This 451-nucleotide ribosomal RNA is filed under the name uncultured bacterium. Its description in RNAcentral is "bacterial SSU rRNA". It matches the Rfam family "Bacterial small subunit ribosomal RNA", at positions 8 to 507 of the family's 1533-position model. The record is from RNAcentral.